Glycine soja is the source of this 1464-nucleotide long non-coding RNA. RefSeq lists it as uncharacterized. NCBI's taxonomy places the organism in Eukaryota, Viridiplantae, Streptophyta, Magnoliopsida, Fabales, Fabaceae. The record is from RefSeq and is a predicted model, not a curated record. The transcript is spliced from 2 exons.
AGCAAUGUGUUGGCCUAGUGUCACCCUUGUCGACGCUCUCUGCCUUGCGCAACCAUGGUCAUCCCUCCUCCGGUGUGCCCAUGACCCUUCCUAUUCUAGUCUGAUUUAACCUCGCCUAAUGCCGAAAAGCUCCUUUCACAGCUCAAAUCGUUCACACAGGUUCUUAUCAAGCCUUGUGACUUUCCCUUCAAUCAACUAUACCCAAGCCUUGCUUGAAAGGAGACACAAUCUCUAUCAAGAUAUCAGAGGAUGUAUACCAAGAAAGUAUCAACCAGUGCAAAAACAAUCUCCGCAGAAGGCUCAUCCUCUUGAAGGGAACAACACCGCUCAAAGCUACAGACCUUCAAAAAAAAAAUUAGCAAAGCUGCUCUAGAGCCCCAUGGGUCCUGGGAAACUAAUCCCUUUAGGGUGUGGUUUCUACAAAUUCAAUUUCGCAUCAUUGGAAGAUCUUCACAAGGUAUGGAUAGCAGGCUCAUGGAAACUUCAACUAGGAAUUUUGCGUCUGACGCAAUGGAUCCCCGACUUCAACCCAUACAACAUGAGGCAAACCCAUGUUUAACUUUGGGUGAGACUCUUCGAGCUCCCUCUAGAAUACUGGAGACCUAGGCUUUGCGAGAUCACAACUUAUAUAGGUAUGUCGAUUAUCCUUGAUGUGACCACAAGAAACAUGGCUUUUGGCCAUUAUGCUCGUAUCUUAGUAGACAUUGAUCUAUCUAAGCCGUUGCAUUCGGAUAUCCUAGUUGAGAGGAAUGAAUUUGCUUUUUAUGCGAGGGUUGAAUAUGAAAAAUUAACCCAUUUAUAUGAUUUCUGCAAAACAGUGGAUCACACCCUACCUCAAUGUAAAAAAAAAAAAAAAAAAAGGAAUCUCAGUCCCACCAAGAUGGAAAAUUUGUUAUUGUUCAUCUGCCUACAGGUUCCAAGGCUACAGAAAAGGAACCCAGUGCCCAGAAAAACUUGGUUGUCAAGGCUUCCACCGAGGCCUAAAAGGAUUAAAACUUUGUUAAGAAACUCGUUACAGUUGUUGAGUCAAGAAUCAAACCCUUUCUCAACAAUGUAACAUAAUGAGUCAAAGUAUCGAUACCCAAGGAGAAUCCUCCAAGAUGAAUGACGAUGAAGACAACUCACACUUUAUGGUACUUCACACAGUGACAUUUCACUCAACAUCCUUGUUAGUCAUAAUCCUUUAUAGUGAGAGCAAAAGGAUAGCAGUAAAGUACGUGAAGUGAGACUCUUUGGUGGAACUGCCAAGCCGACAUGAUGACGUCGGAAUUAUUUGGGAGAAAGUUGUAUUUUGUUAAUCAACUCCUCCAUAGUUGGUUAUAUAAUUCUUUUUUUUUUCGAAUUGAGAAUGUAAAUCACAGAUUUAAUUAUAUGUAUGAACUAAUUUACUUUCCAUCAUGUGAAUGACGUGUACUGAGUUACUAUAUAUAUAUAUAUAUUCAUUUAAGUAAUUGUGCGUUGUUU